CACAUUUGUCUGGGGUGGGGCAACAAUUUUACAUAUUUAGUGUUAAGCUAGAAGAUGCACCAAAGGGAGGUGAAAAACUGAAACCACCGACCGUUUGAGCUGUAGGCUGCACCGAAGCAGUGUGGCCGCUGCAGAUGGUGAGGGCCCGGCUGGCCCACUUCCUCCCUGCGUGCCGCGGGUCUUCCUCAUACCAGCCACUUCCCAAGGCUGCAGGAAGUGAGGCCAGGAAUACUUCAGGGUGUGUGUGGGGAGGUCUGGGCAGGGGUCGGCAGCUGCCAGGGUGAGAACAGAAGCCUUGAGGUCCUUGCUGGGUCCUGAGGCCACCUGUGCAGUAGACCCUGCCCUCUCCCUGCCUGGGCCUGCCCAGGAUGGGUUUGCAGCAGCCUCCCCACCCAGGCUCUUCUCUCCUGAGGUUGCAAGCUAUUGUACAAAAGGCAUCCAGCCCUAGAGAGGCAGGCUGGAGAGGAGCGCCAAAUCUUUUCUCAAAGGAAAUGCAGUUGUGGUUUUGAGACGUUCAUUUCACAUCUGUGGUUGGCGUUUCCCAGGGUUCUCAGAGGUGAAUGCAGGGUCAGCCUGAUGUCGCCAAAUAAGGUUCACCAGUGACCUUAGCAACAGGCUUCGCUGCCCAUUGGCUGCCACUGCUGCCGCCUGCCAAUGCGGUCUCUGGAGCACUGAAUGGUGUGGUGAAUGGACAGGGCAACAGAAUGAGCUCUACUCCACGUGGACGUCUUUGGAACAGCACACAAGAGUGCCACACUGGUUGCUGAACCACAGCUGUGACUGCAGACUGAGGAGCCGGGGAGGGAAUGGAAGAUAAAGACUGGUAUGCAGUUUAGAAGUGGAGGACAUCCUUUGACAUGGCACUACAGCCAGGGAAGAUCAACCACUGGUAGUGGCAACAGGGGCUGGAAGACACCACGGUCAAGGCCUGUCUGGACCUGAGGACAUCUGAAGGGACAGAAGGACAAAUGCAAAUGACCAUGCAUGGGACUCAGCCCCCAUAGGGCGCUGGAGUUUCCGUCCCAGGAUCCCCUCUUCAGGGAUGCCUGUGUUUGUUGAUUAUCUGCCGUAUGCCUGGCCGCUUCAGAAUACAAGGAAUAAAAUGGCCUUUAGUAGUGGCUGAGACAGGACCCUGUGGGAUGUACAAUAAGGAGUCUAAGGCCACAGGAUGAGGCUUUCCUGACUCUGUCUCCUAGAGGGCUGGCGUUUUCUAAGGUUGCAAGCCUGUUUUAUUCAUCCUGAUUUCCCUAGCCUGGAAUAGGCCGUGGAUGACAGUUAAUAAACGUUUGUUGUGUGAGCAAGUGUGUAGAGUCUAUGCUGGAGAGAAUAAGGGCUCUUUAGGUCCCAGAGGCAGCCCACCAGGCUCCCUGCUUCUCUGGUCCAUCUCCAGACAGCCCAGCCAGCUAGAGCGGGCUUCCUCAGUGGGUAGCCAGGGCUCUUGCCCACUGGCAGCCCAUCGCCUGUUAAAGACGACCCUCCUUUUUCUUCUCCAAGCUAAAUAUCACCAGUUUCCACAACUCUUUGUUUUAUAGCCCUCAGCAUUCUGGUUAUCCACUCUGGAGAGGCAACAGAAGUAUCCAGUUGCAGUCUGAACAGGCAGAACCAUGGAUGCAGAUGGAAAAUCCAGGUUUGUGUGCUUCGGCAGUCUGUGUAUUCAAACCGUGAUUGUGACAGCUGCUGACAUGACCUCAGACACGCAGGAAGGUUUGGGUUUGCUGCUGAUCAUCUUUCUUUGGUGUUUUCACAGCCUUUACAUAGACGCUUUUUUGAUGUAAAACCCCACGCUGCAGUCCUUGUCAUCAGUGUUAUAUUUCUCCUCAACUCUCCUGGAGACUUCCUGAGAGCUGGCUUGUGGUAGGCACUCCACAGAUGUUAGCUCAUAUUAUUUGCUUAAUUGUUUUAUUAUUUGAAUGAACAAUCAUGAAUUCAGUGUCCUUUAUUGAGCAGGUGCUGUGUUUCUGGCACUGCUGGGUGCCGGAAUUUAGCAAUGAAGAGAAUCGGCCUGGCCCUGGCCCCCAGAGCCCACAGACACUCUGGGAAGACCUGUUGAUUGAAUGAUAAACCCUGGUUGAACUUAUUGUGAUCAGCUCCCCCACCACCAGACAUUUAUUGGGUGCUUUCUUUGUGUUCAACUUGGAACACACCCUCCCUGCCCUCCAGUGCUGGGAUGUGGGAGUUGUUGAGGACGACACCACUGAGGGUGAAAAAACACUGGACUUGGAACCAACUGACUCGAGAUCAGGUCCUAGCACUGCCACAAAUCCACUGUGUGGCCAUGGAUGAGUUCACUUGACCUCUCUGAGCCUCAGUUAUCUUAUCAGUGAAAUGGGGAUAACAAUACAUCCUACAGGGGCAAGAGAGGAUCAAAUAGGGUGACCACACAGCACAACUCCACCUGUUAGUCUAUGCAGCUGCUGGUGACCUGGGAUUAACUGAGAGCACUUUUGCUUUGUGGCCUGAAGUUAACAGUCACUAAAUGGUAGCUGUUGUUAUGCACAAAUUAGAGGGAAGCAGGGGUUACUUCAGGCUAGCACGCUGCACAGGAUUUGGCCAGGCUUUGUUCUUCGAGGAAGGGCAGGGUUCUGAGAAGUGCAGAUUGUGAUGUAGGCAAAUCCCAGGAGGCUGGGACUCCCAGGGCAGGUCUAGGGGAAGAAAACCUGGUGAGGGAGGGGGGUCUCAACCUCAAAGCCUGAAUAAGGACUUCUCUAGGAACAGAGAAGCCACUGGAAGCUGGAUGUGGAGCAAGGAUGGGUGAGACGAAGGUGAGUAUUUUAAUUAUUGAGAUGCAAAGGAUCCUAGAGAGCAUUUUGUCUGACCAGGCCAACAGAGGCCAGGGAGGGAAAGUAGUGAGUCUCCAAGGUCCCACAGCAAGGACCAGGGCCAAGCCUCCCACCUGUGCAGAACCCAGCUCAAAUGACUCCUCAAGCCCAGUUGUGGCCCCACAAAAGGAAGUCCCUAGCACUUUUCAUAUAUACAUAUAUAUAAUUGUUUUCUGACUGUAAAAUUAUGAGUCAUUGUAGAGCAGUUUUAAGUUAUAGAAAUAUAAACAAGAAAAUAUCACCUAUAAUCCCACCACCCAAAGAUAAUCACCAUUAGUAUUCUGAUGCAUUUCUCCCAGUAGGUAUUCCACAUAAAGCCAUACAUUAAGGGCUGGCCCCAUGGCCGAGUGGUUAAGUUCGCGUGCCCUGCUUCGGCGGCCCAGGGUUUCACUGGUUCGGAUCCUGGGUGUGGACAAGACACCGCUCAUCAGGCCACGCUGAGGCGGCGUCCUGCAUGCCACAACUAGAAGGAUCCACAACUAAAAAUACACAACUAUGUACUAGGGGGCUUUGGGGAGAAAAAGGAAAAACAAAAUCAUAUAUAUUCAUUAGAUUGGAAUUGUAUUGUGUAUAGUUCCAUGUUCCACCUUUUUUGUGUGAAAUUGUAAGUGUUUUGUGAGAAGGAGGGACUGUUUUUAAUGCAAAAGAAACUCUAGAAAACUUUUUCCUUAGGAAAAAAAAAAGCACAAAGCCCAGUCUGUGGUGGUUGGGAGGACAUCCUGAGGGCUGCCGGUCCGUCCGUCCGGUGUGAGCUCCAAGGCUGUGGCUCAGAGAAAGACAAGCCUUUCUCGCCUCUCCUGGCCAGGCUGCAGCCUCCUGCCUGUGGGCAAGACCGAGUUGCUGAGUCUGCACUCACCCUUCCUUCCUCAGCACAGGAUGUGUGAUCAUCCACUCCAUCCAAAGGCAGAUGGGGUUGUGGUCGUUAUUGUUUAUUAAUAACAAGGGCAUCUCAGUCUGUGCAGCACAGUGUUUUCUCAUGUGUUAUCUCAACUGAGACUCACGCUGUGAGGCAGAUAAGACAAGAGCUGUUACACCCAUUGUUCAGAUACAGAAACGAAGGCUACAAGAAAUCAAGUGGCUAAUUUGAGGCCACAAAGCUAGUAAGUAGCAGAGCAGGGAUUGUAUGCGUAUCUGGCUGACAUCCACUUUAGAGAUUUUUGUCUCUAAACUUUUUUCCCUCUAGUCCUAGCUUUUCCUGAGCCAAACUGCAUCCCCUUAGUGAGAUGAAGGACUGAGAGUGCUGUGAAUAUUAUAGGUAUGUGGAAAGGACACAGAACCCCGCUGUGGGACUUUUAAACCACGAGUGCAGGCUCUGGCUGGAUGUGCUGGGUGGCCUGACCUCAGGGCAGCUCCUCCAGGACAACUCGGAGCCAGCAGCUUCAGAGUUUUGAGGAGUGGGUUCAGGAGGCAGCUGUUUCCUGUAGACAUGACCAGCAGGGGCACUAUUCCUCAGGCAUCCUUCUUGACCCAUCCAAGCUAUGGAGGCCCAUUCCCUGCCCAGGGCAUGGGCCCAGAACAGAAUAGGGUCUUUCACAGAGGGACUGUAGAACUCUGUGAGACUGACUCUAACCAAGGGAUUUUGGGCAGCUGCAUCCCCCAGAUGGUUUCCCAGUAUUGCUACUGUAACAAAUUACUAUAAAUUAAGUGGCUUAAAAUAACAUAAAUUUAUUAUCUUACAGUUUUGUAGGUCAGAAGUCCAAAAUGAGCCUUACUGGACUAAACUCAAGAUGUCAGCAUAGCUGCAUUCCUUCCUGGGGGCUCUAGUAGAAAAUCUGUUUCCUUGCCCUUUCCAGCUUUUAGAGGCCACCUGCAUUCCUUGGGUUGUGGCCCCUUCCUCCACCUUCAAAGCCAGCAAUGGCUGCUCAAGUCUUUCAUAUAAUGCCAUCCUUCUGGUUCUGACUCUUCUGCCUCCUUCUUCCCUGUUUAAGGACCUUUGUGAUUACAUUGGACCCAUCUAGAUAAUCCAGGAUAAUCUAUUUUAGAGUGAGCUGAUUAGCAACCUUAAUGGCAUCUGCAACCUUAAUUCCCCAUUGCCAUGUAACAUAACAUAUUCACAGAUUCCAUGCAUUAGGAUGUGGAUAUCUUUAGGCCACUGUGGACCAUUAUUCUGCCUACUCCUCUGGGUUCCUCAGGCAUAGACAGCAGCCCUGGCCAGAGCACAGUCAGGAUGUGCUGCCACUGUCAGAGAGGUCCUAUUUGCCCAGGUCCCCUCCCACCUACCUGAUUCAGCUCAACCAGUCCUGGACUUCUCUUCUCCCAUCCUCUGCUCUCAGUCUUAGGUGGAGAAAAGCUGGGCAGCAAGUGCCAGGGAGCAUGGACACAAGGAAGAGGGAGAUGCAAGGCUGGAUGCACCAGGGCUGUGGGAGGCCCCUGGGGCCUGCACAGAGACCCUGCACUUUCCAAGGACUGGGGCCAGAGCCAGGAGGACUCAGACACUGAGGUCUAAAGGUAGCUCCAGGGCUGGAGAGGCAGGAGGCCAAGAGUUGGAGCCCCUCCACCUCUGCACCCCUGGCUGCCCUUGACAGCCAGAGUUCACCUGGUGCCUUUCCUCAGGUGGCAACUGCCUGUCUGCCUUUACUCAUUCCCUUUCCCCUCUCCUUCCCUGGGCCUCAGGCUGAAACCUUUGUGGGGCCAGAGGGAACAGGAGGCCCCUGCCGAGGCUUUGUCCUGGGCUGCUUAAUGAGGGCCUGGGGGAAUCUAUGGCCCAGCAGGAGGGCCUGUGGGCAGUGUAGGGAGGGGCUGGACAAAGCCUUUGUCCCUCUAAGUAGGGUGACCAAUUCACCCCAGUUUGACCAGGCCUUUCUCAGUUUUGGCACUACCCACAUCCCUGGAAACUCUUCAGUCCUGAGCAAACUGGGACAGUCUGUCACCCAACCGCCAAGGCCCUUUGCACCUCCUAAUGUAUUCUAGAUUACCUUUGCGGCCUGGACAGCUGGCCCUUUGGACUCUUGGCUCUUGGAUGCCAAUCUCUGCACGUUAUCUGUGUGCAGAGAGACCUGGGGGCUGAGGAAGGGCCCCAGGCCAGUGCUGGGGAAGCACAGACUGCUGCUUGCAGCAUUCCCAGCAAGAGCAUCACUUGAGACCAUGCCUGGGUCUGCAUGGGACAGAGCUCCUACAUAUGCACCAGGGAGUGAGAAAUUGUGUUUGCACUCAAUUGUCUAAAAAUUUAACAGCCUGAUUACUUCUGGGUGGUAUACUGCAGGUGGCUUUAAUUAAUGAUUUUAUUUACUCAUCUGUAUUUCUUACUCUGUACAAUUAAACCAUGUUCCUUUUACUUGUGUACAUUUUUAAUAAAAGAAAGUAAUUAAUGACUCAGG
Molecule: long non-coding RNA, 6136 nt
Organism: Equus asinus (donkey)
Lineage: Eukaryota; Metazoa; Chordata; Mammalia; Perissodactyla; Equidae
Source: Ensembl